This 465-nucleotide ribosomal RNA is filed under the name uncultured bacterium. Its description in RNAcentral is "partial 16S ribosomal RNA". It matches the Rfam family "Bacterial small subunit ribosomal RNA", at positions 28 to 507 of the family's 1533-position model. The record is from RNAcentral.
GACGAACGCUGGCGGCGUGCUUAACACAUGCAAGUCGAACGGAAAGGCCCCUUUGGGGGUACUCGAGUGGCGAACGGGUGAGUAACACGUGAGUAACCUGCCCUUGACUUCGGGAUAACUUCAGGAAGCUGGGGCUAAUACCGGAUAGGAAUCCUUGCUGCAUGGUGGGGGUUGGAAAGCUUCGGCGGUUUUGGAUGGACUCGCGGCUUAUCAGCUUGUUGGUGGGGUAGUGGCUUACCAAGGCUUUGACGGGUAGCCGGCCUGAGAGGGCGACCGGCCACAUUGGGACUGAGAUACGGCCCAGACUCCUACGGGAGGCAGCAGUGGGGAAUAUUGCACAAUGGGCGGAAGCCUGAUGCGGCAACGCCGCGUGCGGGAUGACGGCCUUCGGGUUGUAAACCGCUUUCAGCAGGGGCGAAGCUUGUGGUGACGGUACCUGCAGAAGAAGCACCGGCUAACUACGUG